CUUUGGUGUUUACCAGGUAUUGUCCUACCUGGCAGCUCUCUUAGCUCUCUCUUCAGAAUUCAAUCAACUUCCUGUAGAUGAACUUUCCAGCAAAAGCUGUUCCUGCCCAGUUUGCAAGGCCCAGUCAGCUUGUACUCUCAGAGGGCCAGCACUCCACUCUGAUGGAAAUCUGCCUGUGAUGCCAGCCUGGGGAGUGCCCUUCACACGUGAUCUCAUCUAAGCCUGGCUUGACAGGGUCGGCUUUUGAAGGAACCCACUUGAAGACAGGAGCAACUCAUCUGCGCCCGUGACUUUAAAACUCUUCAGGAGGCUCCUCCGUGUGUAAGAAGAGGAGGAAGAGGAGGAAGCUUAGGAAUCCUCUCUGAAGGGGACGUGGUUCUUGGAGGCCUGAUUUAUAUUGGGGAGAAUCCUGAAACCAAUCACUGAGGGAGCACUACCCUUUAUGAUGGGGAUGGAAAAGCCACAGCAACCCUAUGGCCUCUAGUUUUGGAGAGGGACUCAGCUAAAGACCAAAGGA
Gorilla gorilla gorilla (western lowland gorilla) is the source of this 517-nucleotide long non-coding RNA. RefSeq lists it as uncharacterized. NCBI's taxonomy places the organism in Eukaryota, Metazoa, Chordata, Mammalia, Primates, Hominidae. The record is from RefSeq and is a predicted model, not a curated record. The transcript is spliced from 3 exons.